Molecule: unclassified non-coding RNA, 336 nt
Filed under: soil metagenome
Description: partial contains 5.8S ribosomal RNA, internal transcribed spacer 2, and large subunit ribosomal RNA
Rfam family: 5.8S ribosomal RNA (bases 2-121)
Source: RNAcentral
GGAUGAAGAACGCAGCGAAAUGCGAUAAGUAAUGUGAAUUGCAGAAUUCAGUGAAUCAUCGAAUCUUUGAACGCACAUUGCGCCCGCCAGUAUUCUGGCGGGCAUGCCUGUUCGAGCGUCAUUUCAACCAUCAAGCCCCAGGCUUGUGUUGGGGACCUGCGGCUGCCGCAGGCCCUGAAAACCAGUGGCGGGCUCGCUGUCACACCGGGCGUAGUAGAUUUUAUCUCGCUCAGGGCGUGCUGCGGGUUCCGGCCGUUAAAAAGCCUUUUUUACCCAAGGUUGACCUCGGAUCAGGUAGGAAGACCCGCUGAACUUAAGCAUAUCAAUAAGCGGAGA